RNAcentral lists this ribosomal RNA (777 nucleotides) under uncultured Neocallimastigales. RNAcentral describes it as "partial large subunit ribosomal RNA". It matches the Rfam family "Eukaryotic large subunit ribosomal RNA", at positions 24 to 639 of the family's 3401-position model. Lineage: Eukaryota; Fungi; Neocallimastigomycota; Neocallimastigomycetes; Neocallimastigales. The record is from RNAcentral.
UAUCUCUGUAGAGUCUGCAUAUCAAUAAGCGGAGGAAAAGAAACUAACUAGGAUUCCCUCAGUAACGGCGAGUGAAGCGGGAAGAGCUCAAAUUUGAAAUCUUCAAGGUUCUACCUUGACGAAUUGUAGUUUAAAGAAGUGUUUUCUGUUGGAGUUUUGGUAAAAGUUCUUUGGAAUAGGACAUCAUAGAGGGUGAGAAUCCCGUAUUUGACCAUUAUUUCCAACUUUGUGAUACACUUUCAAAGAGUCGGAUUGUUUGGGAAUGCAGUCCAAAAUGGGUGGUAAAUUUCAUCUAAAGCUAAAUACUGGCGAGAGACCGAUAGCGAACAAGUACCGUGAGGGAAAGAUGAAAAGAACUUUGAAAAGAGAGUUAAACAGUACGUGAAAUUGUCAAAAGGGAAGCGUUUGACACCAAUGUUGUUUUCUCGAAAAUCAAUUAAAAAUGGUGGGAUUUUGUGUUGUAUUGACUUUAUCAGCUUUCUGCACUUUUUUCCUGUCUUUUUUAAUGCACUUUUCGUUUAACAAGUCAACAUCAAUUUCUUUUGUUGUAAAAGAGUCAUUGGAAGGUGGCUUUCUUUUCGGAGAAAGUGUUUAUAGCCUUUGGCCUCUGCAAUCGGAGAGAUUGAGGUCUGCAGCGUAGACUCUUCGGGGUUAGAUAGCAUUUGUGCUAAGUUAUAGCCUUUUAUAGACAACUUGUUGACUAUGAUUAGUCAUUGUAGCUUACUCGCUUAUGUCUAUUUUACCUACGCUUAGGAUGUUGAUGUGAUACUGCGAGCA